Molecule: ribosomal RNA, 207 nt
Filed under: uncultured bacterium
Lineage: Bacteria
Description: partial 16S ribosomal RNA
Rfam family: Bacterial small subunit ribosomal RNA
Source: RNAcentral
CGCGUAGGCGGCCGAUCAAGUCGAGUGUGAAAGCCCCGGGCUCAACCUGGGAAUUGCGCUUGGGACUGGUUGGCUUGAGUUCGGGAGAGGAGCGUGGAAUUCCCAGUGUAGAGGUGAAAUUCGUAGAUAUUGGGAAGAACACCGGUGGCGAAGGCGGCGCUCUGGACCGAGACUGACGCUGAGGCGCGAAAGCGUGGGGAGCAAACA